This is a non-coding RNA of Myodes glareolus (Bank vole), 510 nucleotides long. The record is from RefSeq and is a predicted model, not a curated record. NCBI's taxonomy places the organism in Eukaryota, Metazoa, Chordata, Mammalia, Rodentia, Cricetidae.
CUGUAAAUGGAUAAAACAGGACUGUCAUAUCCUGCCAAGACAGGCCUCAGAACCAACUUCUAGCAAAUAUUCAUCAGUUUGAUGGAGUCUGCCUGAAUUUUAUCCAUACCACAUCACUGCUCUUCCAAUUGAAAAAGGAGUGACAUGUGAUCUGUUACCUAAAGCAGAUUCACUGAACAAACAACCAUUUUUGUCUUACCUUCACUGAAGCUCUGAAGAGAGCUCAGGGCCAGCAAGGCAACUGUGAACAGGGAAAACAGCAUCUUGGCGUCUCUGGAGUUUCUUCCAAGUCUGUGCUGCAGGCAGUGUGGUACCUGCCUUUAUAUGACCCAGAAGAAGAAUGGUGUCUUUGAUCCCAUCAUGGAUGACUUCAUAUUUGACAAAGUAGGAAAUAUUGCAUCCUUGACUCUCAUUGGGAGUUCUGCCAGCUAGUAUAACAUGAGGCAUUGGAAGCGUGACUUGGAUUAAGAGCAGAUGAAGCAUAGCUAUGAUGCUAAUAUCAAUAUUAAA